Molecule: ribosomal RNA, 410 nt
Filed under: uncultured microorganism
Description: bacterial SSU rRNA
Rfam family: Bacterial small subunit ribosomal RNA
Source: RNAcentral
CAGCCGCCGCGGUAAUACGUAGGGUGCGAGCGUUAAUCGGAUUUACUGGGCGUAAAGCGUGCGCAGGCGGCCCGUUAAGACAGGUGUGAAAUCCCUGGGCUCAACCUAGGAAUUGCGCUUGUGACUAGCGGGCUCGAGUACGGUAGAGGGGGGUGGAAUUCCUGGUGUAGCAGUGAAAUGCGUAGAGAUCAGGAGGAACACCGAUGGCGAAGGCAGCCCCCUGGGCCUGUACUGACGCUCAUGCACGAAAGCGUGGGGAGCAAACAGGAUUAGAUACCCUGGUAGUCCACGCCCUAAACGAUGGGUACUAGCCGUUUGGUGCGCGAUAGCGCUGAGUGGCGAAGCUAACGCGUGAAGUACCCCGCCUGGGGAGUACGGCCGCAAGGUUGAAACUUAAAGGAAUUGGCGGG